AUUGCACGCUAGCGGGGUGCUAUACACAUGCAAGUCGAACGAAUGUCGGACGGGUGAGUAAUAUAUCGGAACGUGCACAGUAGCGGGGGAUAACUACUCGAAACAGUGGCUAAUCGCGCAUACACUUGGAGCGGCCGCUAUCGGGUUAGCUAGGUGGUGGGGUAAAGGCGCACCAAGGCAACGAUCCGUAGCUGGUUUAAGAUGACGACCAGCAACACUGGGACUGAGACACAGCCCAGACUCCUACGGGAGGCAGCAGUGGGGAAUUUGGGACAAGGGGGGAAACCCUGAUCCAGCCAUCCCGCGUGUAUGAGAAGGCCUUCGGGUUGUAAAGUACGUGUGGCAGAGAAGCGGUAUCUGCAGAAUAAGCACCGGCUAACUACGUGACAGCAGCCGCGGUAAUAC
Molecule: ribosomal RNA, 405 nt
Filed under: uncultured bacterium
Lineage: Bacteria
Description: partial 16S ribosomal RNA
Rfam family: Bacterial small subunit ribosomal RNA
Source: RNAcentral